AUAAUGUCUCACCAGACAGCUCACCUAAGAGUUUGCGUCAACAUUCUCAACAGCAAAAUCGUUCCAACAAUAGAGACAUCAACAAUUAUAAUGUCUCACCAGACAACUCACCUAAGAGUUUACGUCAACAUUCUCAACAGCAAAAUCGUUCCAACAAUGGAGACAUCAACAAUUAUCAUGUCUCACCAGACAGCUCACCUAAGAAUUUACGUCAACAUUCUCAACAGCAAAAUCGUUUCAACAAUAGAGACCUUAACAAUUAUCAUAUCUCACUAGGGAGCUCACCAAUAAGUUCAAGUCAAAAUUCUCAACAACAAACUAGUUUUGCACCCAUUUCUAGCACACCGGUCCAUAAACGAACCUUAAUUAAGGAGACACAAUCGGAUAGUAAU
This is a long non-coding RNA of Daphnia magna, 392 nucleotides long. RefSeq lists it as uncharacterized. The transcript has 4 exons. Lineage: Eukaryota; Metazoa; Arthropoda; Branchiopoda; Diplostraca; Daphniidae. The record is from RefSeq and is a predicted model, not a curated record.